This 465-nucleotide ribosomal RNA is filed under the name uncultured soil bacterium. RNAcentral describes it as "bacterial SSU rRNA". It matches the Rfam family "Bacterial small subunit ribosomal RNA", at positions 26 to 502 of the family's 1533-position model. The record is from RNAcentral.
AGAUUGAACGCUGGCGGCAUGCCUUACACAUGCAAGUCGAACGGCAGCGCGGGAGCAAUCCUGGUGGCGAGUGGCGAACGGGUGAGUAAUACAUCGGAACGUGCCUAGUAGUGGGGGAUAGCCCGGCGAAAGCCGGAUUAAUACCGCAUACGACCUACGGGUGAAAGCGGGGGAUCGCAAGACCUCGCGCUAUUGGAGCGGCUGAUGUCAGAUUAGGUAGUUGGUAGGGUAAAAGCCUACCAAGCCGACGAUCUGUAGCUGGUCUGAGAGGACGACCAGCCACACUGGGACUGAGACACGGCCCAGACUCCUACGGGAGGCAGCAGUGGGAAUUUGGACAAGUGGGCGCAAGCCUGAUCCAGCCAUGCCGCGUGCGGGAAGAAGGCCUUAGGGUUGUAAACCGUCUUUGUCGAGGAAGAACGCAACGUGGACCAAGUACUCCCGGUAGUAACGUGACCGGUAACC